RNAcentral lists this ribosomal RNA (253 nucleotides) under uncultured bacterium. Its description in RNAcentral is "partial 16S ribosomal RNA". It matches the Rfam family "Bacterial small subunit ribosomal RNA", at positions 524 to 776 of the family's 1533-position model. The record is from RNAcentral.
UACGGGGGGAGCAAGCGUUGUUCGGAUUUACUGGGCGUAAAGGGCGCGUAGGCGGACAGUUUAGUCAGAGGUGAAAGCCCAGGGCUCAACCUUGGAAUUGCCUUUGAUACUGGCUGUCUUGAGUUCGGGAGAGGUGAGUGGAAUGCCGAGUGUAGAGGUGAAAUUCGUAGAUAUUCGGCGGAACACCAGUGGCGAAGGCGACUCACUGGCCCGAUACUGACGCUGAGGCGCGAAAGCGUGGGGAGCAAACAGG